AAGUGAUGAUUAUUGGAGGUAGAGCACUGUUUGGACGAGGGGCCCCUCUCGGGUUACCGAAUUCAGACAAACUCCGAAUGCCAAUUAAUUUAACUUGGGAGUCAGAACAUGGGUGAUAAGGUCCGUGUUCGAAAGGGAAACAGCCCAGACCACCAGCUAAGGUCCCAAAAUAUAUGUUAAGUGGAAAAGGAUGUGGCGUUGCCCAGACAACUAGGAUGUUGGCUUAGAAGCAGCCAUCAUUUAAAGAGUGCGUAAUAGCUCACUAGUCGAGUGACACUGCGCCGAAAAUGUACCGGGGCUAAACAUAUUACCGAAGCUGUGGAUUGUCCUUUGGACAAUGGUAGGAGAGCGUUCU
This 355-nucleotide ribosomal RNA is filed under the name Staphylococcus aureus. RNAcentral describes it as "partial 23S ribosomal RNA". It matches the Rfam family "Bacterial large subunit ribosomal RNA", at positions 884 to 1242 of the family's 2925-position model. The record is from RNAcentral. Lineage: Bacteria; Bacillati; Bacillota; Bacilli; Caryophanales; Staphylococcaceae.